GGGGGCGCUUUUGGUUUUGACGUGAUUGACGAAGCCGGAUGUGCAUGUCGGGCAGUCAGGUAAGCCCGUUAUCAACUUAGUAAUUAAAUAUAACUGCAAAUUCAAUUCGCAGAAAAUUCGCUGCUGGCCCAGUCAACAGCGAAUUUGCAGAUGAUUUCGCCCUAGCGGCCUAAUUAUCCCGCAGUCUGCUUGUGCUUGUGCGAGCAAUGCUGCGGUCAUUGACGCAAGAUCGCUACGAUCGAUGUGCUCAGAUCGUUGUAGUUAAAUUUAAUGAGCAACGGUCAAGUUGCUGUGCCCGUCUGGUGCUUGACAGGAUUUUGACGCGGCUAAACAUGUAGUACCUGAUGGACUAGCAUGAGCGGACGCGGGUUCGAAUCCCGCCGCCUCCAUUC
Molecule: transfer-messenger RNA, 392 nt
Filed under: Legionellales bacterium
Lineage: Bacteria; Pseudomonadati; Pseudomonadota; Gammaproteobacteria; Legionellales
Also listed under: 1 other name
Rfam family: transfer-messenger RNA
About the family: Bacterial tmRNA, also known as 10Sa RNA or SsrA, is named for its dual tRNA and mRNA-like properties. Its role is to liberate the mRNA from a stalled ribosome.
Source: RNAcentral